UUGUCUCUCUUUUCUUCUCUUUAUUCCCGUCAAACACAGUGUCUACCUCCUGAUGGCUGUCCAGAUUUCCAAUGACAGCCAUUUUGGUCAGGGAAUAACAUAACAUUUUCUUCAUGUCCAGGGAAAAAUCAUACGGUAUUUCAAUUGAUCUUCUUCUGUCCUUUACAUAAAUUGAUAAAAUAUAGUUUCAUGUAAAAAUCACGAAACUUAUGAUUUAUAAAAGCUGCAUUAGGUUUUGAACUAUAUACUGAUAUCUAUCAUCAUGGAUGCAAAAGCUUCAUUUUCGGCAGAAAUACAUUAGUUAUAAUAAUUUAGUUCACAACAAAAAAUGUCCAAUAACAGUGGUGUCACCAAGAUAAAGUGAGUAGUGUUUCUGUAUGCUAGUGAAUUUAAGUUCGCAAUGUCUGGUCAUGUGAUCUCAACAUGGCGACUGCCAUGAGGGUGGUCCUCACCUUAAUCAGGGUAUCUGCAUUAAAUCAAAGGUUUUUUAAGACCUUUUUUAAGACCUGCACAAAUAAAACUACUGGAAACUAAUGGUAACAUCCUAUAAAAUGUGACCCUGGACCACAAAACCAGUCGUUCACCGUAGUCAACCGGAUCCGGGCCGUAUCCAGGUGAGACCAAGGACCUGCACCUUGACACGACCACAACGCAGCCCUGACGUAUCAGCAGAGAUUGAGUCAACUAGAUCAUCCACUGUGAGGGCCUCAUCGACACGACAGCCACGACAGAGUUCCUCAACAACCGUCCAUACCGGCGUGAUGAAUACGAUCCUCAAUUGGAUGGAACUGAAAUAAAUACUUUUAAUGUCGCGAUCCUAUUGGACUUAUGAUAGCAACCUGAAUUGUAACAAAGCACUGUUGGCCAGAGGAGAACUGGCACCCCGACUAAGCCUGGUUUCUCCCAAGGUUUUUUUCUCCAUUUUAACACCAAUUUGCCACUUGUCUUCCACCUAAUGUCACCUGAUGGAGUUUGGGUUCCUUGCCGCUGUCGCCUUUGGCUUGCUUAGUUGGGGACACUUGACUUGACAUUUGAUAUUCAACAGUGCUUUGAUCUGCCUGCAUUGACACUAUUCCUUAAGAGCUGCUGUGCAGCCAAACAAUGUACCAGUUAUCAAUGUAAAGCUGCUUUGACACAAUCUACAUUGUAAAAAGCGCUAUAUAAAUAAAGGUGACUUGACUUGA
This is a long non-coding RNA of Ctenopharyngodon idella (grass carp), 1184 nucleotides long. RefSeq lists it as uncharacterized. The record is from RefSeq and is a predicted model, not a curated record. NCBI's taxonomy places the organism in Eukaryota, Metazoa, Chordata, Actinopteri, Cypriniformes, Xenocyprididae. The transcript has 2 exons.